AGAGUUUGAUCCUGGCUUAGGACGAACGCUGGCGGCAUGCCUAACACAUGCAAGUCGAACGGAGUAAUGACUUCGGUUAUUACUUAGUGGCGAACGGGUGAGUAACACGUGAAUAAUCUGCCCUGUACGAUGGGAUAACAGCUGGAAACGGCUGCUAAUACCGUAUAUGACCACGCCGAGGCAUCUCGGAGGGGUGAAAGCGCUUAAGCGGUACAGGAUGAGUUCGCGUCCAAUUAGCUAGUUGGUGAGGUAACGGCCCACCAAGGCGACGAUUGGUAGCCGACCUGAGAGGGUGAUCGGCCACACUGGAACUGAGACACGGUCCAGACUCCUACGGGAGGCAGCAGUGGGGAAUAUUGGGCAAUGGAGGAAACUCUUUAACCCCCAGCAAUGCCGCGUGAGUGAUGAAGGUCUUCGGAUUGUAAAGCUCUUUGAUUGGGGACGAAUAAAUGACGGUACCCAAGGAACAAGCCCCGGCUAACUAUGUGCCAGCCGCUGC
Molecule: ribosomal RNA, 499 nt
Filed under: uncultured bacterium
Lineage: Bacteria
Description: bacterial SSU rRNA
Rfam family: Bacterial small subunit ribosomal RNA
Source: RNAcentral